This is a long non-coding RNA of Limulus polyphemus (Atlantic horseshoe crab), 690 nucleotides long. RefSeq lists it as uncharacterized. The transcript has 2 exons. Lineage: Eukaryota; Metazoa; Arthropoda; Merostomata; Xiphosura; Limulidae. The record is from RefSeq and is a predicted model, not a curated record.
UCAAAGUUGUUUUUCUUUUCAUACUCACAACAGUUGGAGGAAUUACUGAAAGUGAAACUUUUAGUCUGAUUACAAAUACAAGUAAAGAAAAGUAUGAAUCUUUCAAGUUUGUUGGUGCCUUUGAGGAGUUGGAUGACAGUGAGUCGACACAUUGGAAGCUUUGUUCUUACUGGGAAGUCAUCUACUUCUGGAAUUCAGCUAUCUCAGACUUCAGGUGCAUUUUUAGGAGUUGGUUUUCAGCAAGUUCGGUACAAUGUUCGUAAUCAUUUUCCAAGACCUAGUGAGCAUAAAAGGGUUAAAAGACAUGGUUACAAAGCUCGAUUAUCCACACCAGCAGGAAGAAGAAUAAUCAUGCGACGUAUACUGAAAGGACGUCAUGUUUUGACACACUAAUAAUAAGAAGCAAAAUUUUUUUAUUACCAGCUACUAGGAAUGGAGCAAAAGUUUAAGCAGUAUGCUGUCAUCAUGAGAGAUUUUUCUUUGAAAGAAAAGUGUGAAAACUAGCACAUUUAGUUAUCAAAGAUUGUGUUCAUUCAUUAAAUUCCAUUGUAAAAGAAAUAUCUUAACAAUGUAGUUUUAUACAUUAUUCAUGUAUAGACAGUUUCUAAAGUUAACACUUAAUUGGAAAUAUACUGUUUUUAAAAACAUAGUGUGUAAUCUCUUUCCAGAAUUAAAAUUUUAAAUCCUGAA